CGCUACCCCGUCCGAUUCUGCCGAGUUUUCUCAGUGGCUAGGCUAUCCCAUCUACUGAAUCGGCUCCAUCCCCAUUGAUUUGGAUCGGCCAGCCGGAGUAUUGGCCUUUGGAUUUCUAAAUUGUGGCCCUAUUUUGAAGCUCCCCAAUCCUGAAUCAAAGGUAUGUGCACUUCCGUGGAGUGCCCCACAUUUUGAGGAUUUGUAAUUUUUGCAACAGAUUUUGUUCUGUAAUGCAUCCUUCAGCUGGAUGAAAUUUGUUAUUUGUGUUCAUUGUCGGCCAAGUAUUGUUUCGACUAUUAAGCUGUUCCAAUUUUUGUCGGUGCUUCAAAUCUAUUACAGAAAUGCUGCGACACUUCCUUUUCAAUGCAUCCUACAAUGCUUCCUGUAAACAGAGCAUCCAAGUAAACUUACCCCCAUAUUGGCGCUAAAUUUGUUAUGUUUACCCCUUUCGAAAUUACAUGCUUCCAUCGAAGACAAAAAAUGCAUUCUAAAUUGCACAGAUUGCACCCUAAAUUCCAUGAAUCCAUCACACAAAAUUGCUUCUUAAUUGUCCCCUUUUGGAUACUGUUUUUUCCAGGAAAAUGCUUCCAUGCCAAAAAUACUAACAGAUGCAUCCCCAUCCUGGCACCAAGCUUAUUUCAAUACCAGGCGCCGUAUUUGUACUGUCCAUAUUUUCGUGCUUCUGUAAUCCUUUAUGUCAUCAGUCAACAUAUAUAUACUCUUAUUUUGUAGUGCAUUGCUUCCAUACAACUAAUUCCAGAAGAGAGCAAAUCUAUCACUUCAUUCCUUACGAAUCAUUUUCUUACAGAAAUGCUAACAAUCCGUAUUCCGUGUGUUCUCAGGUGACACUCAACAAUGACUAAAAAGGAGUCGAUCAUGCUACAGAGUCGAUAUUCAGCUGGUAAGUUUCCUAUGUAUCCUUUUUGUAUUUCUUCAGUGCAAACUCAUGUUAAUAAUGCUUCCUGCUUUCUCUGUUUGUAGUUUUGAAGUACUGAAGUAUAGUAUGCAGAAAUUUUUCCUCCCAUAUGUUGCGAAUGGUUUAGAAACACUUUGAAUGUGCAUAUGUUCUCUGACAUGUUAAUUUGUGAAUUCAAAUAUGUAUGCUUCGGAUGCGUCUAAUAUAUGUUAUGAUAGAACCAAAUUAGUGCUUCUUGUUAACCAUGCUUCCUUGAAUUUUAACAUAUGCUUCUAGUGUAGAGAUGUAGUGCGGAACUGAAACAAUAUUUCACGGACAUUAAAUUUUAGCACAGAAAUCUUGCCCAGCAAGUAUGCAGAUCAGUCAAAUCGAUCUUUUAUGCUUCUAGUGCAUGAGCAUCCAAUAAUUGCUUCGUAUUAGCCAUGCUUCCUACUUUUGAUUUCUCACAUAGUUUUGCUUCACCCACUACCCCUGUGUGCCCUUCAACCAUUGCCGGUGUUGCUUUUCGGAGUGAACUUUUGUCUCAACCACUGAACACUAUGUGUGCUUGAUUGUUUCUCAUUCAUGCUUUUACUAUGCAGAUUUCUCUACAACCUGAUGUGUUGUAAAUAUGUCGACUACAAUAUAGCCGAGAUCGUGAUUGCCUUGUUGAUGAUGGCAAGCUCACAGUGCAUGUGAGAUGGUCCAUUCAACGUCCUCUGUGAUGCUGGCUAGAGGGAUGUGAAAACAAUGUUGUUGUAAUAAUUUGUAUUUUAUUGUUUAAAUAAGUAUAAUAUAUGUCACCUAUUUUUUU
This 1709-nucleotide long non-coding RNA is filed under the name Triticum aestivum (bread wheat). RNAcentral describes it as "long non-coding RNA (TAES_LNC007737)". Lineage: Eukaryota; Viridiplantae; Streptophyta; Magnoliopsida; Poales; Poaceae. The record is from RNAcentral.